GCUUAUGGCCAUACCACCCUGAGCACGCCCGAUCUCGUCUGAUCUCGGAAGCUAAGCAGGGUCGGUCCUGGUUAGUACUUGGAUGGGAGACCGCCUGGGAAUUCCAGGUGCUGUAAGCU
RNAcentral lists this ribosomal RNA (119 nucleotides) under Betta splendens (Siamese fighting fish). Lineage: Eukaryota; Metazoa; Chordata; Actinopteri; Anabantiformes; Osphronemidae. The record is from RNAcentral.